CCAUUAUCUCCCAAAAUUUUUCGAAACGGACUUAUUGACAUUGUUGUUCUCAAUCUUGUUCCGUAUGGAAAUGCUAAUCUUUUGAAAAACGGCACAAUCAUCUGUCAGCAUGGUCCAUUUGAGUGUUUCUAAAAUACAGUGGAAGCAUGUGCGAUCAAUUCCAUGCCUCAGGAUGAGUAUUUCGAAUUCAUACGUUGUACGGAGAAUUUCAUUGCUGAAGGAAAGGCAGAGGAAUCGUCUUCUUGCUUGUACAAAACGCCCGGCCACGGGAAGAUUCUUCAUGACUGCUACACAAGUGGGAGGUGACAAAUGCUAGAAUUACGCUGUGCAAAUGUAACUGCUGCUCUUAAACCUCCUCAUGAAUAUGUUCCAUGGGUGACUGUGAAUCAAGUACCCAUACGUAUGGCAAGUUUUCUCAACACUCAGAUCUCACUCUCUUCGUAUUCAUCCUAUUAUGAAUUUCGAUCGACGUUUUUGU
Papaver somniferum (opium poppy) is the source of this 478-nucleotide long non-coding RNA. RefSeq lists it as uncharacterized. The record is from RefSeq and is a predicted model, not a curated record. The transcript has 3 exons. Lineage: Eukaryota; Viridiplantae; Streptophyta; Magnoliopsida; Ranunculales; Papaveraceae.